GGCUGGUCUGAUGGUAGUGGGUUAUUAGAACUUAUUAACAUUAGUGUUACUAAAGUUGGUAUAUAACCACCCACUGCUACAUUUGACUGGCUUUAA
Unclassified non-coding RNA from Carlito syrichta (Philippine tarsier), 96 nucleotides. It matches the Rfam family "Y RNA". From Rfam's summary of the family: Y RNAs are components of the Ro ribonucleoprotein particle (Ro RNP), in association with Ro60 and La proteins. The record is from Ensembl. NCBI's taxonomy places the organism in Eukaryota, Metazoa, Chordata, Mammalia, Primates, Tarsiidae.